AAACGUUUUUCAAGUUAUGAGCUGUCCCUCGGUCCGUUUUUUGAUUCGUAUAAACGAGAAACAAAUUGGACUUACAGGUGAGCUUUUUUUCUAACCAUGAUGUUAUAUUCUGCCCUCCCUGAGAAUGCCAUGUGCUGUUUGGCAGAUAGCAAACAGCUUUUCAAAAAAGUGUGCUUGCUUCAAGCUGUUAAUUGCCACUGCCAGUGAAGGAUAACUGUAAAACAUAAAACAAAGAUAAUUGUACUUUGUGUAUUUAACCAAACCACAUAACUUGGCCUUAAAAAAGUCUGCUAGCUAAAUUCUAACUAAAGUAAAACGCCAUAGACAUGCUAACGAAACUAGCACCGAUGGUGUUCAAACAGAUUACAAUGAACCUCCUUAUAUAUGUAUAUAUAUAUAUAUAUAUAUAUAUAUAUAUAUAUAUAUAUAUAUAUAUAUAUAAACCCCUCCACCACUAAAGUGACGGCUUCCAGCAGGGGGUGUGUAUAUUAAUGAGGGGAAAAAAUAACAAAUGAUUUUAGCAAAUUGCUGCAAUAUAACAAAGAGUGAAAAAUUUAAGGGGGUAUAUAUAUCCACAGUUAUUUGGUGAAAAACUAUUGAGUUGAAAAACUCUAAACAUCUUUUCUUUUUUUGUGCUGAGGCCAAAGCAAUAAAAGUACUGAUUUGCUGCCAUCUUGUUUUAUUUAAGUACCCUUGAACUAUGUUAAAGUGAAUUGAGGAGUCAUGUUAAUUUUAUUUAUAUUGCGCUGAUUCACAACAGAAGUUCAUGGACAGAGGGUAGCUACAGAGAAAACUGGAUAGAGGGAAGAAACGAGAGAACAAUUGGCACAACAACAGCCGAGAAAGACAAAUGGGUUCAUAACAUACAUGGUUGGUGAUGAGGUGGGAAGGGUAGAGGAAAAGAGGAAGGGAAGCUUGGUGUGUCAAUGGAGAUCAUUGGCAUGGGAGCUUAAAAAAUGAGUGCUUUGCUCCCAUCUUCUGGCUUCUUGGUGCCAAGGAACUAUGUUGUAGUCAGUUGAGGAGCCUCAUGAGAAAAAAAAUUGAGCUUUGCUGUCAUCUAGUGGGCAGCAUGGUGGUCAACUGAUUAGCACAUCUGCCUCGCAGUUCUGAGGACUGGGGUUCAAAUCCCGGCCCCGCCUGUGUGCAGUUUGCAUGUUCUCCCCGUGCCUGCGUGGGUUUUCUCCGGGUACUCCAAUUUCCUCCCACAUCCCAAAAACAUGCGUGGUAGGUUAACUGGGGACUCUAAAUUGCCCGUUUGUGUGAAUGUGUGUGUGUGAAUGGUUGUUUGUUUCUAUGUGCCCUGCGAUUGGCUGGCGACCAGCUCAGGGUGUACCCCGCCUCUUGUCCAAAGAUAGCUGGGAUAGGCUCCAGCACGUCCGCGACCCUCGUGAGGAUAAGCUGUACAGAAAAUGGAUGGAUGUAAUCUAGUGGCAUCUUUGUGCCAAGGAACUACAACCCCAAUUCCAAUGAAGUUGGGACAUUGUGUUAAACAUAAAUAAAAACAGAAUACAAUGAUUUGCAAAUCAUGUUCAACCUAUAUUUAAUUGAGUACACUACAAAGAUGAGAUAUUUAACGUUCAAACUGAUAAACCUGAUUGUUUUUAGCAAAUAAUCAUUAAAUAAUUUUAUGGUUGCAACACGUUCCAAAAAAGCUGGGACAGGUGGCAAAAAAGACUGAGAAAGUUGAGGAAUACUCAUCAAACACCUGCUUGGAACAUCCCACAGGUGAACCGACUAAUUGGGAACAGGUGGGUGCCGUGAUUGGGUAUAAAAGGAGCUUCCCUGAAUUGCUCAGUCAUUCACGAGCAAAGAUGGGGCGAGGUUCACCUCUUUGUGAGCAAGUGCGUGAGAAAAUGGUCGAACAGUUUAAUGACAAUGUUCCUCAACGUACAAUUGCAAGGAAUUUCGGGAUUUCAUCAUCUACAGUCCAUAUCAUCAUCAAACACCAAACCUAUAAUUCCAUUACAACAAGCUGGCAAUUUUUUGACUUGAGUUCGUUGUCACAUUUCUGUGGGGCCAAUUAUGUAUUACUCGUGCACUCACUGUAGUUGUCUCGCCGUGCUGCACUAUUUGCAUAUACUGGCCACUCAUGCUAGAGUAGCAUCUGCUCCAUUUUCACACUGAUUGAGGAGUAUCUGUAACAUUUGCACAACCAACAUUGUCCCAGAUUAUCGCACUACUCGUCACUUUAAACCGCAUACACUCCUUGAAGUCUCAGCGCCCUUUGCACAAUGGUCAUUGCACCGGACUAUUGCAAUAUUAGUCAUUCGACCUGCUCUAAGUGCUAGAGGACUCUGCAUCUUUUUGCACAAUUGUUUUUUGUCAAUGUCUUUACGUCUCCAAAGUGUUCUGUAAAUUGACUGUCUGUUGUACUGGAGCGGCUCCAACUACCGGAGACAAAUUCCUUGUGUGUUUUGGACAUACUUGGCAAAUAAAGAUGAUUAUGAUUCUGAUUCUGAUUCUGAAAAGGUUCAGAGAAUCUGGAGAAAUCACUGCAUGUAAGCAGCAAGGCCAAAAUCCAACAUUGAAUGCCCCUGACCUUCGAUCCCUCAGGCGGCACUGCAUCAAAAACCGACAUCAUUGUGUAAAGGAUAUCACCACAUGGGCUCAGGAACACUUCAGAAAACUAAUGUCAGUAAAUACAGUUUGGCACUACAUCUGUAAGUGCAACUUCAAACUCUACUAUGGAAAGCAAAAGCCAUUUAUCAACAACACCCAGAAAUGCCGCUGGCUUCUCUGGGCCCGAGCUCAUCUAAGAUGGACUGAUGCAAAGUGGAAAAGUGUUCUGUGGUCCGACGAGUCUACAUUUCAAAUUGUUUUUGGAAAUUCUGGACGUCCUGUCCUCCGGGCCAAAGAGGAAAAGAACCAUCCGGACUUUUAUGCACGCGAAGUUCAAAAGCCAGCAUCUGUGAUGGUAUGGGGCUGUUUUAGUGCCAAUGGCAUGGGUAACUUACACAUCUGUGAAGGCACCGUUAAUGCUGAAAGGUACAUUCAGGUUUUGGAGAAACAUGCUGCCAUCCAAGCAACGUCUUUUUCAUGGACGCCCCUGCUUAUUUCAGCAAGACAAUGCCAAACCACAUCCUGCACGUGUUACAACAGCGUGGCUUCGUAGUAAAAGAGUGCGGGUACUAGACUGGCCUGCCUGCAGUCCAGACCUGUCUCCCAUUGAAAAUGUGUGGUGCAUUAUGAAGCGUAAAAUACGACAACGGAGUUCCGUUGGAACUGCUGAAGCUGUACAUCAAGCAAGAAUGGGAAAGAAUUCCACGUACAAAGCUUCAACAAUUAGUGUCCUCAGUUCCCAAAUGUUUCUUGAAUGUUGUUAAAAGAAAAGGUGAUGUAACAGUGGUAAACAUGACCGUGUCCCAGCUUUUUUGGAACGUGUUGCAGCCAUAAAAUUCGAAGUUAAUGAUUAUUUACUAAAAACAAUAACGUUUAUCAAUUUGAACAUUAAAUAUCUUGUCUUUGUAUUGUCUUUGAUUAAAUACAGGUCAAACAUAAUUUGCAAAUCAUUGUAUUCUGUUUUUAUUUAUGUUUAACACCACGUCCCAACUUCAUUGGAAUUGGGGUUGUAUGUUGAAGUGAGUUGAGGAGGCUCAUUUAAAAAAAUGUGUUUUGCCACCAUCUUGUGGAAUUUUGGUGCCAAGGAACUAUGUUGAAGUAAGUUGAGGAACCACCAUCUUCUGGCAUCUUGAUGCCAAUGAAAUAAGAUGAAGUGAGCCGAGGAGCUCUAUUUAGACAAAAGUUGUUCUUUACUGUCAUCUUGUGGUAUCUUUUGGUAGUUAUAAAACUUUUCAGUCAAUUACUCGCAGAUUUUUGCUACUCACGACAGGGUUCUGUCCCUAUUCGGAGCGAAUAGCAGGGAUUUACAGUAAUUCUUCAUUUAAAUGGGAAAAUUGACCUUAGUCCGCAAGCAUUUCGGUCCGUGAACAGUCUCGAAAUGAAUUAAGUUUCGUGAACAGAGGUUGGACUUUACUUCAUUGACACCAAUUACUACUCUCCCAUUCAGCACGGCUUCAGCGCCAUUUAGUUCAGAGAGAGAACAAAAUAGAGCAAAAAGCUGAGGAUAAGUUUUCGCGAAAAGAAAAAAAAAAAACUUAACUCUGACAUAGCGCUUACGCUCGGCCUUUCAGCUGCACCUGUUCCCCCUUCCCCCCUCCUCCUCCUGCCCGGAUCACGCCUCCUUUACCUCUCAAUCCAUCCCCCCACCUCCCAAGCAGAGUCCCUUCCGUGGUUUUGGGCCUCUUGCCAGCUCUGCCCCCUUUUUUUUUGAGUGAUGACAUCAUCAGCUCGCUGCCGGCAGGCCUGGGUGUUCUGCCAGUGUUCCGAAGCGUGUGUGAUGGCUCGCUCGCAGAUGUGUGUCCAGGAACACACUGUACCCAAAUGCAGACUUAAUCAGACCUGACUGCUACCCCAGCUACUUUAUCCAAAAUAGAGAGCGAGGAGCAGAAGGGAGGGAUUGGGUGAUGAUAAAGGGUGUGUGUGUGUGGGGGGGGGGGGGGGGGGUCUAUAUAAUCAGGGACUAAAAAUGCAACUAAAACACAAAGCUUAACUGUGUACAGACAUUGUUUCCGUGCAUGUUAGCAUCCUGCUGCCAGCUGAGAGAGGAUCUUUAAACUUCCCCUGAGUCGUCUCUUUUAUUGUCAUCCGCACACACAUGCACACGACAUGCUUUGUUUGCAGCACCUUUAACCUGAGAGUUUUCCGAGCCCGUAACGCGACAUGAAAAACAAACAAAAAGGAUGCGGAUCUCAUUUCUGUGUCGCUGAGUAUUUGGGUAGAGAAGCCUCAGAUCCCGCCGGUUGCUAAGGAGCGAGCGCUCCGCCGCUCUAAUGGGCUGAUUUGGUAUGCAGCUCGACGCCGGCUCUUAUUUUGGUAUGCCAGACAAAGUGUUUUGAUGGAGGACGAUUGCAGCCGCGUCUGGAGACGGUUUGAUGGUUUAUGGAUGAGAGCACACUCCGUGCCUUUGACUGCACAAGACAAUGCACUAUGUUCUUUCUCCGUGCCUUUCCCUUAUCACACGGAUCGCACACAGCACAGCACAACACAACACAACCACUGGACGGCGUCACACAACAUUAGGAUCUCCAGCUGCUGUAGUGCCGCUCGUGUGUGCAAACUAUAAAAGAUGAACAGAGGGGAGCUUUUUUGUGUUGUUUUGUUUCGGCAAUGGUGACACCAUGUAUUGUGUGCGUGUGUGUGUGUGUGUGCGCGUGCGUGCACAGAGUUGAAAGAGGACCACAUUUAGGGCUGCGGCGUUCUGAGUUCCCAAAGCUUGUGGGUGUUUUAAUGAGUCAUUUUAACUUCAUUUAAAGCCAGCUGAGCAGAAAAUAGAUCAGUGAAUGAGCCCAGGGCCAGUAUGGAUCUGCAACCGAUUUACAUGUCUGUGAGAGCCAACCCACAUCCAAAGAGCUGUGCGUGUGUAUGUGUCUGUGGGCACAGAGCGGAACCUCCAAAUUGGAACACAAUCCGUUCUGUGAUACUGGUGGACUUUGACUUGAAUUUGUUGUUAUUUCAAAUACCAGUACUGUACAGUUAACCCUCUCUAUUCCCAGAUGUCAAUGACCAAGCCCUUGCCACUAAAUGUUGAGAAUUACAUUUAAAACAUGAAAUACUUUCAAAAUAUUAGAAUGAAGCUUAAGUUGUAGUGAUGCAAACACUACAGUAUUUAUUUAUUUUUGUUACUUUUUAGGUACACAACAUGUUUAAAGACAGAUUACAUGUAAAUGUGUUGUACUGCACAAAAACCUCAACAACUGAAGCAAGAACUGUUUGUUGCAAACAUUUAGAUUUUCACAAUUGCUAAAACACUAAACCAUUUCUCUGAACCAAAUUCUUAGUAGCCUAAACUAAUUUUUAAAAUCAAACACUCUUUUGGCCAAACCUUAAACACUGUUCAGGUACUUUGACCCGGUUUGCAAAACUCAUAUUUUUUUUUUUACAAAUCCUUAGACACAUUCUCAAUCACUAAUUACACUUCACACUGUGAUACACUUGUGUUGCAAAAUUGUAAGCACUGGCUGCACAAUGUGAACAACUAACACCAUUGUCAUCUUUUACACACAACUGAAAAUUGAACACAAGUUUCUAAUGGUAUGACCAGACCAACUGGGCAGCCUAAAAUUCAUUUCAGAGUGCACAAGUGGCAUGUGUUUCCAUCUACAAUGGACAGAAACAUACAGAGUGGCUGAGGAGUCCAUAUGAGAGGUGGUGGAAAAGGAGGAAGAGGCAGAGGAAGACCAAAAACUAUCAUCACCGAUGAAAUUUGGGCAACUAUUGUACACCAUGUCCUUAUUUGUGGGAUGAAAAUGACAGAAGUAAGACAGUGACCAACCCAAUUAGAGCAGAUUCUCUGGGCCCAACCUCAUCAGGACAUUCAGAGAAGAGAACAGAUGGAUUUUCCUCUUUGUCGAAUUGAAAGACGACCAAAUGAGGGUGGAAGGACUGCUCCUUCCUCUCAACAACAAGAAGCAUUUUCACAUUGUCCUUCAACAUAGCGCAAGUCGACUAUUUAAUCCAGCAGAAAGUGACUGAAAUAUUAUCUUUGAUGUGGAUGUGAAGUCCUCUGGCCGGACCCCUCACAAAGACAACAUGUUGGAGACUGAAUCACAGUGACUUUGACUAGUCAGUAAUGUGAUUUUCUUUGUUUGUUUGUUUGUUUGUUUGUUAUGAAAGUGUUAAAUGUAGAUAUCACUUUGACUAUCAGAUUUUUUUUGCUGAAUGUAUUUACAAUAAAGAUUUUCUGUUAUCUACAGUACAUGCCCUGGA
Long non-coding RNA from Phyllopteryx taeniolatus (common seadragon), 6765 nucleotides. RefSeq lists it as uncharacterized. Lineage: Eukaryota; Metazoa; Chordata; Actinopteri; Syngnathiformes; Syngnathidae. The record is from RefSeq and is a predicted model, not a curated record. The transcript has 2 exons.